RNAcentral lists this small RNA (660 nucleotides) under Vigna angularis var. angularis. RNAcentral's name for it is "Non-protein coding transcript". Lineage: Eukaryota; Viridiplantae; Streptophyta; Magnoliopsida; Fabales; Fabaceae. The record is from RNAcentral.
GGAGCAGGUUGAUCAGCUUGUUGGAAAGAACCAUCUCUUCAAACGCAGUAUUAUCUUAAUCAAAGCUUGGUGCUAUUAUGAAAGCCGAAUUCUUGGUGCACACCAUGGACUGUUAUCAACGUAUGCGAUAGAAAUACUGGUCUUGUAUAUCGUGAAUCGUUUUCAUUCGUCACUGCGUGGUCCUCUGGAGGUUCUAUACAUAUUCUUGGACUACUACGGUUCAUUUGACUGGGACCAUAAUUAUGCUAGUAUAUGGGGUCCAAAAGCCUUAUCCUCACUUCCUGAAAUUGUUGAAACACCAGAAUGUGAUCAGAGUGGAUUCUUGCUCCAGAAAGAGUUUCUCAAAAACCACAGGGAUAUGUGCUCUUCUAGCAUAAGAGCAUCGGAGACAGUGACUCCUGAAUUUCCCGUUAAGCAAAUGAACAUCUUGGAUCCUCUAAGAAAUGAUAACAACGUUGGUCGUUGUGUCAACUUAGCCAAUUUACAUCGAAUAAGAUUAGCUCUUUCCUAUGGUGGUCGAAGGCUGAAGCAGGCCCUCACACUUCCAGGAGAAAACAUGGGUUCAGCACUUGAGAAGUUUUUCUUCUGUACUUUGGAAAGGAAUGGGAAAGGAGAAAGGGCAGAUGUUGACAUUCCUGUUUGUCCAUUUGGUACUGGAAG